GGUUUUGUGAUCUUCAUAAAAGUUUUAGGUCUCCAUCUUAUCUUUCCACCAAGCUAAACAACAUCUAAAACGGAGGUCUGUAGCUCUGGUUAGAACCCAAAAACCGAACAGUGUUCUGGGUUGACUAGACCAGCCCAAUUUCAACCAAUUCAAUAAUUAAACACCUGCAAAAUACCAAGAAUUUUCAAGAAUUAAAUAAAUAUAAAAGACACCUAAAUUCUAGACAAAUGAGCUAAGAACAUACAAAACACUCUAAAACAAAAUAAUUAAGACUAAGAAAAUGUGUGAAAUAAAUUCC
This 298-nucleotide long non-coding RNA is filed under the name Phoenix dactylifera (date palm). Its description in RNAcentral is "long non-coding RNA (PDAC_LNC006507)". Lineage: Eukaryota; Viridiplantae; Streptophyta; Magnoliopsida; Arecales; Arecaceae. The record is from RNAcentral.